CCUACGGGUGGCAGCAGUGAGGAAUAUUGGUCAAUGGACGGAAGUCUGAACCAGCCAUGCCGCGUGCAGGAAGACGGCUCUAUGAGUUGUAAACUGCUUUUGUACAAGGGUAAACCUGAAUACGUGUUUUCAGCUGCACGUACUGUACGAAUAAGGAUCGGCUAACUCCGUGCCAGCAGCCGCGGUAAUCCGGAGGGUCCAAGCGUUAUCCGGAUUUAUUGGGUUUAAAGGGUGCGUAGGCGGAGUGAGAAGUUAGAGGUGAAAUGUCCGAGCUUAACUCGGGAACUGCCUCUAAAACUGUGGAGCUAGAGUGUAGAUGCGGUAGGCGGAAUGUAUGGUGUAGCGGUGAAAUGCUUAGAGAUCAUACAGAACACCGAUUGCGAAGGCAGCUUACCAAACUAUAUCUGACGUUGAGGCACGAAAGCGUGGGGAGCAAACAGGAUUAGAUACCCCAGUAGUC
RNAcentral lists this ribosomal RNA (460 nucleotides) under uncultured bacterium. Its description in RNAcentral is "partial 16S ribosomal RNA". It matches the Rfam family "Bacterial small subunit ribosomal RNA", at positions 338 to 795 of the family's 1533-position model. The record is from RNAcentral.